GCGCCUGCCGAAUCAGGCGCCGGGAUUGGUCUCCUGAAUACCCUCAUCGGCGACAUAUGACGUGUAAACGUCUUUUUU
Molecule: small RNA, 78 nt
Filed under: Hafnia alvei
Lineage: Bacteria; Pseudomonadati; Pseudomonadota; Gammaproteobacteria; Enterobacterales; Hafniaceae
Description: isrK
Rfam family: isrK Hfq binding RNA
Source: RNAcentral